RNAcentral lists this ribosomal RNA (207 nucleotides) under uncultured bacterium. RNAcentral describes it as "partial 16S ribosomal RNA". It matches the Rfam family "Bacterial small subunit ribosomal RNA", at positions 568 to 774 of the family's 1533-position model. The record is from RNAcentral.
CGUGUAGGCGGUCUGUUAAGUCUGAUGUGAAAGCCCUGGGCUCAACCCAGGAAGUGCAUUGGAAACUGGCAGACUUGAGUACGGGAGAGGAAAGUGGAAUUCCGAGUGUAGGGGUGAAAUCCGUAGAUAUUCGGAGGAACACCAGUGGCGAAGGCGGCCUUCUGGACCGAUACUGACGCUGAGACGCGAAAGCGUGGGGAGCAAACA